This 226-nucleotide ribosomal RNA is filed under the name uncultured bacterium. Its description in RNAcentral is "partial 16S ribosomal RNA". It matches the Rfam family "Bacterial small subunit ribosomal RNA", at positions 28 to 225 of the family's 1533-position model. The record is from RNAcentral.
GAUGAACGCUGGCGGCGUGCUUAACACAUGCAAGUCGAACGGAGUGGCCUUUGAAAGGAGGAUUCGUCCAAUUGAUAAGGUUACUUAGGUGGCGGACGGGUGAGUAACGCGUGAGGAACCUGCCUUGGGAGUCGGGGGAAUAAACACAGUGAAAAUUGUGCUAAUACCGCGACUAAUGCGAGUUGGGCCGCAUGGCUCUGACUGCCAAAGAUUUAUCGCUCUGAGA